GCCAGACUCCUACGGGAGGCAGCAGUGAGGAAUAUUGGUCAAUGGGCGGGAGCCUGAACCAGCCAUGCCGCGUGAAGGCGAGUGCCCUACGGGCGUUAAACUUCUUUUGUGCGGGAGCAAUAAGGGCCACGCGUGGCCCGAUGAGAGUACCGCACGAAUAAGCAUCGGCUAACUCCGUGCCAGCAGCCGCGGUAAUACGGGGGAUGCGAGCGUUAUCCGGAUUUACUGGGUGUAAAGGGAGCGUAGACGGCCAUGCAAGCCAGGGGUGAAAGCCCGGGGGCCAACCCCGGGACUGCCCUUGGAACUGCAUGGCUGGAGUGCGGGAGGGGCAGGCGGAAUUCCUGGUGUAGCGGUGAAAUGCGUAGAUAUCAGGAGGAACACCGGCGGCGAAGGCGGCCUGCUGGACCGCGACUGACGUUGAGGCUCGAAAGCGUGGGGAGCGAACAGGAUUAGAUACCCCGGUACC
This 466-nucleotide ribosomal RNA is filed under the name uncultured bacterium. RNAcentral's name for it is "bacterial SSU rRNA". It matches the Rfam family "Bacterial small subunit ribosomal RNA", at positions 330 to 794 of the family's 1533-position model. The record is from RNAcentral.